GAGCUUCGCGAAGGUCCGUCUCCUCCCAGGACCCGAGCGGAUAGAAGUCUGCGGACUCCUCCUCCCACCGCAGACUUUCCAAACGACACCCGCCGGUCCUCCCCCGGCGGGUGUUGUCG
Molecule: small RNA, 119 nt
Filed under: Aureimonas sp. Leaf460
Lineage: Bacteria; Pseudomonadati; Pseudomonadota; Alphaproteobacteria; Hyphomicrobiales; Aurantimonadaceae
Description: Alphaproteobacterial ar14
Rfam family: Alphaproteobacterial ar14
About the family: Smr14C2 was renamed NfeR1 (Nodule Formation Efficiency RNA) highly expressed in salt stress and during the symbiotic interaction on legume roots.
Source: Rfam by way of RNAcentral